UCCUAGCUUCCUCAAUGACAGUUAAUUUAAUACCCUUACCCUUGGGAAGAGAUACCCAUGGCUUUGUCCCCUUGCCAAUAGUGAACACAUUGACCAGACGAGUUGCAAACUCAUGACCAGUGGCAUCCUGAACGUGGAUUGUCUCAAAGGUUCCCUUAUGCUUUUCUCUGUUCUUGAUCACUCCAACACGCCCCCUAUUCUUACCACCAGUAACCAUCACUACAUUCCCAACAUCGAAUUUGAUGAAAUCGACAAUCUUGUUUUCCUCAAGGUCCAGCUUGAUUGUGUCAUUAGCCCUGAUGACUGGGUCAGGGUAGCGGAUAGUGCGACCAUCAUAGGUGUUCAGGUAUGGGAUACCUUUCUGCCCAAAUUGCACUGAACGCACCUUGCACAGCUUAAA
Molecule: long non-coding RNA, 400 nt
Filed under: Medicago truncatula (barrel medic)
Lineage: Eukaryota; Viridiplantae; Streptophyta; Magnoliopsida; Fabales; Fabaceae
Description: long non-coding RNA (MTRU_LNC002845)
Source: RNAcentral